AACGCUAGCUACAGGCUUAACACAUGCAAGUCGAGGGGCAGCAUGAUUGAAGCUUGCUUCAAUUGAUGGCGACCGGCGCACGGGUGAGUAACACGUAUCCAACCUUCCGUACACUCAGGGAUAGCCUUUCGAAAGAAAGAUUAAUACCCGAUGGUAUCUUAAGCGCACAUGCAAAUAAGAUUAAAGAUUUAUCGGUGUACGAUGGGGAUGCGUUCCAUUAGGUAGUAGGCGGGGUAACGGCCCACCUAGUCGACGAUGGAUAGGGGUUCUGAGAGGAAGGUCCCCCACAUUGGAACUGAGACACGGUCCAAACUCCUACGGGAGGCAGCAGUGAGGAAUAUUGGUCAAUGGGCGCGAGCCUGAACCAGCCAAGUAGCGUGAAGGAUGAAGGUCCUACGGAUUGUAAACUUCUUUUAUAAGGGAAUAAAACCUCCCACGUGUGGGAGCUUGUAUGUACCUUAUGAAUAAGCAUCGGCUAACUCCGUGCCAGCAGCCGCGGUAAUACGGAGGAUGCGAGCGUUAUCCGGAUUUAUUGGGUUUAAAGGGAGCGCAGACGGGUCGUUAAGUCAGCUGUGAAAGUUUGGGGCUCAACCUUAAAAUUGCAGUUGAUACUGGCGUCCUUGAGUGCGGUUGAGGUGUGCGGAAUUCGUGGUGUAGCGGUGAAAUGCUUAGAUAUCACGAAGAACUCCGAUUG
This 694-nucleotide ribosomal RNA is filed under the name uncultured bacterium. RNAcentral's name for it is "bacterial SSU rRNA". It matches the Rfam family "Bacterial small subunit ribosomal RNA", at positions 32 to 715 of the family's 1533-position model. The record is from RNAcentral.